RNAcentral lists this long non-coding RNA (1180 nucleotides) under Anas platyrhynchos platyrhynchos (common mallard). Its description in RNAcentral is "lncRNA (ENSAPLG00000030085.1)". Lineage: Eukaryota; Metazoa; Chordata; Aves; Anseriformes; Anatidae. The record is from RNAcentral.
AGGCAAUCAAAAACAUCCUAUUAAUGAAGCCAUAAUGUCUUAUUUUGAUUUUGUGACUCUUGUUAUUCUUUCAAAGGUACUUCUUGUGCAUGGAACACGCUUAAAAGGAGGACCGAAAAGCCCCUUCAAAGCCUCAGCUUCAAGAUCUGUUUCCAUAAGAUUAAGUGCAUUCUGGACCAGAGAUCAGGUAGGUUAAAAGGUACCCAGAACAGAUCACGUUAGAAUCUUGGAGCAUAAUACAGUCCAUGGAUGUACCAAAUUUGUCUUUCUUUUCACUGUUUGGCUGGGUCUUUUUUUAAUAGUAUUUCAUUUUAUAAAAGCAGAUCACAACCUUUCAGCCUGCUGUUCUGCUUUUAUUUUAUUUGUGCUUUGUAACAGUACAGAGAACAGUUACAGAUGCCUUUUUUUUUUUUUUUUCAUAUUCUCUGACAUCUCCUUUUCCCAAGAGCUUCAAAUAUCAGGAUCUUUUGAGGGCACAAAAAAACCCCAAAAGUUCAGAAAUUCAAAUGCAAAUAGUUUGUUCUACAGAUCAACUCAAUAACCAAAAUGCAAAAUAUCUGAUCUGAUAAUAAGCUUUCUUAUUCACCUCACCAGUAUUUCUGAAGAUUCAUGUUAAAUACAAGGACUAGAAAACAGUUGAGCCAGAUGCGAUACCUUACGCCACGACACAUGUAGGUUAUGCUGGACCAAAAGGUAUUUACCCAGGUCAGUGGAGGUAACUGUAUUGUGAGAGCAAUCUGUCAGGGCAGAGAUCUGAGGUGGAAAAUUGUACUUCAGGUGCCCAGUGAAACCACUGAAGAAGUUUUUAUGUCCUGUUUUGCUGAAUAUCGGAUUCAUGAACAUCUAUGGACUCAAAAGGUCCAUACUCCAACAGACUCCUACAGACAUCAUUCCUGAUAAGACAUCUUCUCCAAGAAUGGCAUUUAGAUUCAAUUUGUGUUUAGAUUCAGUUUUUGGAUAGGACUACUGCUCCAGCCUGGAAGAAAAAUAUGCUGGACAUAAUUUGAGGAGAGCAAUGUUUUUUUUCUUCCCUUUUCUGAAGGGAGAAAAGUCAACUUUUGAGCACCUAAGUAAGAGGUUUAGAGUGAGUAUUACACUGUCACUGUGUUAAUUGUUUUAAUUUGUACAUUUACUGAAAUUUAGACAGCAGUCCUAAUAAAGAAAAAUAAGCCCUGAUCCA